This 236-nucleotide ribosomal RNA is filed under the name uncultured bacterium. RNAcentral's name for it is "partial 16S ribosomal RNA". It matches the Rfam family "Bacterial small subunit ribosomal RNA", at positions 15 to 231 of the family's 1533-position model. The record is from RNAcentral.
GAUCAUGGCUCAGGAUGAACGCUGGCGGCGUGCCUAACACAUGCAAGUCGAACGGAGUUACUUUGGUGAAGUUUUCGGAUGGAUCUGAUUUAACUUAGUGGCGGACGGGUGAGUAAUGCGUGAGCAACCUGCCCUUCAGAGGGGGACGAACAGUUGGAAACGACUGCUAAUACCGCAUAAUGUAUUCGGGAGGCAUCUCCUGGAUACCAAAGGAGAAAUCCGCUGAUGGAUGGGCU